AUGACGGUCGUCGAGCUGCUCCGCGACGAUCUCGAGGAGCACGAGAUCGAGGAAGAUGAGCCUAUCCUUGAGGAGGAUAACGACGACGAUGAAGACGAUACCGAGGAUGAGGAUGAAAAAGAUGACGAUGAUGUCGUGGGAGGUGAUGCUGGUGGAAGAUCUAGGCAGAGUAGGAGUGAGAAGAAGAGCAGGAAAGCCAUGGAGAAGCUUGGCAUGAAGGCCAUUACUGGUGUGAGCCGUGUAACUUUCAAGAAGAGCAAGACCGUUAUGUAUGUCCUCUCCAAGCCAGAUGUGUUCAAAAGCUCGCAGUCAGACACCUAUGUCAUGUUCGGGGAGCUCAAGGUCGAGGACCCGAGCACUCAGCUGCCGACACAAGCGGCGGAACAGUUCAAGGCGCCAGGCCCGAGCAGUGUGAUCUCGAAGGACGAGCCAUCCGUGGCAACAGCCCAGGACGAUGAGGAGGUUGACGACACUGACGUUGACCAGAAGGACGUCGAGCUCGUGAUGAUGCAGACCUCGGUGUCGAGAUCCAGGGCUGUGAAGGUGCUCAAGGCUGUGGAUGGCGACAUUGUCAGCGCCAUCAUGGAGUUGACUAACUAG
Molecule: ribosomal RNA, 600 nt
Filed under: Triticum aestivum (bread wheat)
Lineage: Eukaryota; Viridiplantae; Streptophyta; Magnoliopsida; Poales; Poaceae
Description: partial small subunit ribosomal RNA
Source: RNAcentral